RNAcentral lists this ribosomal RNA (508 nucleotides) under uncultured bacterium. RNAcentral's name for it is "partial 16S ribosomal RNA". It matches the Rfam family "Bacterial small subunit ribosomal RNA", at positions 28 to 507 of the family's 1533-position model. The record is from RNAcentral.
GACGAACGCUGGCGGCGUGCCUAAUACAUGCAAGUCGAACGCUUCUUUCCUCCCGAGUGCUUGCACUCAAUUGGAAAGAGGAGUGGCGGACGGGUGAGUAACACGUGGGUAACCUACCCAUCAGAGGGGGAUAACACUUGGAAACAGGUGCUAAUACCGCAUAACAGUUUAUGCCGCAUGGCAUAAGAGUGAAAGGCGCUUUCGGGUGUCGCUGAUGGAUGGACCCGCGGUGCAUUAGCUAGCUGGUGAGGUAACGGCUCACCAAGGCCACGAUGCAUAGCUGACCUGAGAGGGUGAUCGGCCACACUGGGACUGAGACACGGCCCAGACUCCUACGGGAGGCAGCAGUAGGGAAUCUUCGGCAAUGGACGAAAGUCUGACCGAGCAACGCCGCGUGAGUGAAGAAGGUUUUCGGAUCGUAAAACUCUGUUGUUAGAGAAGAACAAGGACGUUAGUAACUGAACGUCCCCUGACGGUAUCUAACCAGAAAGCCACGGCUAACUACGUG